AAUCGUCGGAAAUGUUUUGACAACCCAUCCUUCCUUAUUCCUAAACCAACAAAGAAACGAUCGUUAGUUGGUUCUUCGUUGCCAAGCAAGCCUAGGAAGGUCCACAAAAUUUAACUUACCAAUGGCCUCUAAAAGGACCUUAUUCAAGCUGCCGGAUUCACACGCGUGAAUUGAUCAACAAGACUACUUACCCUCUUAGUGCGACACUGAUUUUUACUCUAUACCAAAACCACUAAAACAUUUAAUUAUUGAUUUGAGGGGGUUGGCUAACUGUUUGCGCCUCUCCGACAUCCAACGGGCCCCAUUUCAAACAUGUUCAAAAUGACAAAUAUAUAUAGACGCAGAGGAUAAAUAAAUAAUGAGAAUUGAAUAGAACAUAUAUUAAACCAAAUCAAUCUCUCAAAUGCAUUACUGAAGUUCACUAAAUCUCACCUAGGAAAAGAAAGUGAGUUAGCCACUCAUAGUGGGCUUUUCAAAACAAAUGAGUUCUUAGAGAACAGAGAGAAGAAAAAGAAGAAGAAAAAUUAUAGAAGUAGUAGUCGCUGCUCUGUGCAGCGUCUAGAAGAAGAGAGAUGAUUCCUCGCUCAUCCCAGCUUGCCUUUUAUCCCCCAAAAAGGCUAGACUUUUUCUUUUUUUUUCUCGAUUUGCAAUCUUUCCUUGAUUUUUGGCAAAUCCCUAGCUUUCCAAAUUGAGCUUCAUGAUUUUCUGUCUCCAAAUCUGGGUUUGAAUAGAAUUUGGUUUUAAAUUUUAAAUGUGCACCUUUUUCUUUUUUAAUUGACUGCUGUUCGUGGCUCUUAUCUUUGUCUAAGGCUGAGCUGUCUGGAACAGGAAGCCUUGCCCAAGGCUUGUUUCUGUGUUGAUGAUCCACUUCACGAAUUCUCCCUCUCUUCAUGUUAUUUUCCCCCGUUUUGACCUUUUAUCCUACACUGCAACAAAACACAAAAAAUACCUUGGGUUAGAUGAUGUACCAUCAAGUUCAAUAACCUAAAAAUGGGUGAUAAAGAUGUUGUUUUUAGGCAUUAUCAAACUUCCCCACACUUAUCAUGUGCUCAUCAUUAAGCACGACACAGUACACUCUACAAAUCUACAUUUUUUCACCUUAAAGUCACUUACUCCUAAUCAUUUCAACAUAACCAUAUGUUACAUCUCAACCCUCACAUUGCUAAAAUAACCAUUAGUUAGUAAUUUGUGAACUUCAGUUUCAUGGACCCACACCCAAAAAUAAUCAUUUUGACAACAUCCAAACAUGAUAUGGGAGACUUUUGUAAAUUUUCCUUAUAAAAAUAAGUUAAGAGGAACAACCAACACAUAGUAGAACAAGUAUCGAACUUGUCUAGAUAUAGAGGUUUCAUGCAAAUUGGUCCAUGCAGA
This 1371-nucleotide long non-coding RNA is filed under the name Carica papaya (papaya). Its description in RNAcentral is "long non-coding RNA (CPAP_LNC000908)". Lineage: Eukaryota; Viridiplantae; Streptophyta; Magnoliopsida; Brassicales; Caricaceae. The record is from RNAcentral.